AACGAACGCUGGCGGCAUGCCUAACACAUGCAAGUCGAACGAGACCUUCGGGUCUAGUGGCGCACGGCUGCGUAACGCGUGGGAACCUGCCCUUAGGUUCGGAAUAACUCCCCGAAAGGGGUGCUAAUACCGGAUAAUGUCUUCGGACCAAAGAUUUAUCGCCUUUGGAUGGGCCCGCGUUGGAUUAGCUAGUUGGUAGGGUAAAAGCCUACCAAGGCGACGAUCCAUAGCUGGUCUGAGAGGAUGAUCAGCCACACUGGGACUGAGACACGGCCACUCCUACGGGAGGCAGCAGUGGGGAAUAUUGGACAAUGGGCGAAAGCCUGAUCCAGCAAUGCCGCGUGAGUGAUGAAGGCCUUAGGGUUGUAAAGCUCUUUUACCCGGGAUGAUAAUGACAGUACCGGGAGAAUAAGCUCCGGCUAACUCCGUG
RNAcentral lists this ribosomal RNA (430 nucleotides) under uncultured bacterium. RNAcentral describes it as "partial 16S ribosomal RNA". It matches the Rfam family "Bacterial small subunit ribosomal RNA", at positions 29 to 507 of the family's 1533-position model. The record is from RNAcentral.